RNAcentral lists this ribosomal RNA (121 nucleotides) under uncultured soil bacterium. Its description in RNAcentral is "partial 16S ribosomal RNA". It matches the Rfam family "Bacterial small subunit ribosomal RNA", at positions 26 to 149 of the family's 1533-position model. The record is from RNAcentral.
AGGACGAACGCUGGCGGCGUGCUUAACACAUGCAAGUCGAGCGGUAAGGCCUUUCGGGGUACACGAGCGGCGAACGGGUGAGUAACACGUGGGUGAUCUGCCCUGCACUCUGGGAUAAGCC